AGAGUUUGAUCAUGGCUCAGAUUGAACGCUGGCGGCAGGCCUAACACAUGCAAGUCGAACGGUAACAGGAAGCAGCUUGCUGCUUCGCUGACGAGUGGCGGACGGGUGAGUAAUGUCUGGGAAGCUGCCUGAUGGAGGGGGAUAACUACUGGAAACGGUAGCUAAUACCGCAUAAUGUCGCAAGACCAAAGAGGGGGACCUUCGGGCCUCUUGCCAUCGGAUGUGCCCAGAUGGGAUUAGCUUGUUGGUGGGGUAACGGCUCACCAAGGCGACGAUCCCUAGCUGGUCUGAGAGGAUGACCAGCCACACUGGAACUGAGACACGGUCCAGACUCCUACGGGAGGCAGCAGUGGGGAAUAUUGCACAAUGGGCGCAAGCCUGAUGCAGCCAUGCCGCGUGUAUGAAGAAGGCCUUCGGGUUGUAAAGUACUUUCAGCGGGGAGGAAGGGAGUAAAGUUAAUACCUUUGCUCAUUGACGUUACCCGCAGAAGAAGCACCGGCUAACUCCGUGCCAGCAGCCGCGGUAAUACGGAGGGUGCAAGCGUUAAUCGGAAUUACUGGGCGUAAAGCGCACGCAGGCGGUUUGUUAAGUCAGAUGUGAAAUCCCCGGGCUCAACCUGGGAACUGCAUCUGAUACUGGCAAGCUUGAGUCUCGUAGAGGGGGGUAGAAUUCCAGGUGUAGCGGUGAAAUGCGUAGAGAUCUGGAGGAAUACCGGUGGCGAAGGCGGCCCCCUGGACGAAGACUGACGCUCAGGUGCGAAAGCGUGGAGAGCAAACAGGAUUAGAUACCCUGGUAGUCCACGCCGUAAACGAUGUCGACUUGGAGGUUGUGCCCUUGAGGCGUGGCUUCCGGAGCUAACGCGUUAAGUCGACCGCCUGGGGAGUACGGCCGCAAGGUUAAAACUCAAAUGAAUUGACGGGGGCCCGCACAAGCGGUGGAGCAUGUGGUUUAAUUCGAUGCAACGCGAAGAACCUUACCUGGUCUUGACAUCCACGGAAGUUUUCAGAGAUGAGAAUGUGCCUUCGGGAACCGUGAGACAGGUGCUGCAUGGCUGUCGUCAGCUCGUGUUGUGAAAUGUUGGGUUAAGUCCCGCAACGAGCGCAACCCUUAUCCUUUGUUGCCAGCGGUCCGGCCGGGAACUCAAAGGAGACUGCCAGUGAUAAACUGGAGGAAGGUGGGGAUGACGUCAAGUCAUCAUGGCCCUUACGACCAGGGCUACACACGUGCUACAAUGGCGCAUACAAAGAGAAGCGACCUCGCGAGAGCAAGCGGACCUCAUAAAGUGCGUCGUAGUCCGGAUUGGAGUCUGCAACUCGACUCCAUGAAGUCGGAAUCGCUAGUAAUCGUGGAUCAGAAUGCCACGGUGAAUACGUUCCCGGGCCUUGUACACACCGCCCGUCACACCAUGGGAGUGGGUUGCAAAAGAAGUAGGUAGCUUAACCUUCGGGAGGGCGCUUACCACUUUGUGAUUCAUGACUGGGGUGAAGUCGGAACAAGGUA
This 1500-nucleotide ribosomal RNA is filed under the name metagenome. RNAcentral describes it as "bacterial SSU rRNA". It matches the Rfam family "Bacterial small subunit ribosomal RNA". The record is from RNAcentral.